This 277-nucleotide ribosomal RNA is filed under the name uncultured bacterium. RNAcentral describes it as "partial 16S ribosomal RNA". It matches the Rfam family "Bacterial small subunit ribosomal RNA", at positions 524 to 792 of the family's 1533-position model. The record is from RNAcentral.
UACGAAGGGUGCAAGCGUUAAUCGGAAUUACUGGGCGUAAAGCGUGCGCAGGCGGUUAUGUAAGACAGAUGUAGAAACUCCCGGGCUCAACCUGGGAACUGCAUUUGUAGACUGCAUAGCUAGAGUACGGCAGAGGGGUAUGGAAUUCCGCGUGUAGCAGUGAAAUGCGUAGAUAUGCGGAGGAACACCGAUGGCGAAGGCAAUCCCCUGGGCCUGUACUGACGCUACAUGGCACGAAAGCGUGGGGUAGCAAACCGAGGACUUAGAAACCCUGGUA